RNAcentral lists this ribosomal RNA (279 nucleotides) under Triticum aestivum (bread wheat). RNAcentral's name for it is "partial small subunit ribosomal RNA". The record is from RNAcentral. Lineage: Eukaryota; Viridiplantae; Streptophyta; Magnoliopsida; Poales; Poaceae.
UCCGGUGAUUCAUCGGCUUCUUGAGGCGGUGGGCUCCGAAGGAGAGGCGCAGCAGUAGCAAGGUCACCGGUGCCCUAUCGCGAGCAGCCAAUGGCUUACGAGCCGCCGGUGAUUUGCGCUCGAUGCGGCAGGAAGGCGCCACGGUGGAUAUCCUGGAGUCCGGCGAACCCUGGUAAGAGAUAUUAUUCCUGCGUAGAUUCUCAGGUAUGCUUGAUUCCUCACCUGUCCUCUUUUUCUCUGUUUUUUCUUGUGUCAAACUCUGAAUUUUCUGUGUCAUGA